AGCCAGCUCGCGGUUUAGGAAAAGAAGGGAAGCCGAGCAGCUUGGCCUGAGACAAAGUUAGUUUAGAUGUUCAGCAAUUACACAACACAAAAGUACAAUUGCCGUUUUUGGAAUGUCAAUGCUCCCAAAGUCUUAUCUUUACAAUCAUGUAAUGUAUCUACUUACGUAUGAUUCUUAAUGAUUUCAUUUGGCAGCUGUGGUGAUGGGAUAAAUUUAUUAAAAGACAAUUUUUUUUUGUCAUAGUUUUACCAUAAUUUUGUUUCUCUGUCAUUUUUAUGUAGCAAAAAUUUUGGGAAUUAGCGAUAGCCUUCUGGUGGAGCAAGCUGGUUCUCAAAGGGCAGAUAUACUACCCUAGUUUAAGAUGUGAUCGAAGUUAACUCCCAGCAUGAAUCCAGAAAAGAAGCUGACCCACAAGCUACUCUCUCUAGGGUCAUUCAUAUUCCAACAGAGUACCGACCCCUCUGGCCUCUGAAUUGUAGUUGAGGAGACCUCUCACGCCGCUGACAUACAAUUGCCUCCGAAAUGCAUUAUUUUACUGGCCACUUCUCCAUUCUCUUGUCCCAUCCAUUGUUUUCUUUUUCUCUUUUUUUUUUUUCCCUUUAUUUGUUAUUAAUUAGUGCUCUUUCUGGUUUAUAAUUAUUAUUAGGAUUUGGGUCAUGACUUAUAAUCUGGUAAAUUAACGCAAAAAUAAAUAACAAAAUAAUGGAGUCAAGUAGGUCAUUGGAUGAAUUUUGUAUGGAUCUUAGUUACAUUUCGGAGACCCUUAUUAUUAACUCAUCUAUCCUUACUCUCCAUCUCCAAUCUUUGUGCCAUAACUGCACAUGCAUUGGAGAAGAUUCAAGCAAUUGAUUACAAGUCUAGUCCCAGUUAUACACUUCACCUUC
Molecule: long non-coding RNA, 884 nt
Filed under: Citrus maxima (pomelo)
Lineage: Eukaryota; Viridiplantae; Streptophyta; Magnoliopsida; Sapindales; Rutaceae
Description: long non-coding RNA (CMAX_LNC001131)
Source: RNAcentral